AUGGAGGGAAGAUCUGAAUCCUUCUGCAACAACCUGAUGGUUACUGUUCUUCUGCUUCACGAAGGGAUGUUCCAGCCAAAGCUCCCAAGAUUCACAGUACUCGCACUAAAAACUUACAAAUGUGCAUAUCUGGACCAGGAAAAGAUUUCUCCCUGUGAUUCUGUGACUGCAAAAGAGGAAUGGUUUUCUACAGAGAUCUGAACUAUCGCCAAGAAUGCAUAAAACUCAACAGAAGAACACUCCCCAGAGCUCCAAAAUUCACACAUUCAGAAUGGAAUACAAGUUCCACAGGACUUAAAGAGAUAUUAAGAGAAAUCUCUUAACAUCUGCUCCAAGAGGCAGGUACAAGAGACCCUGCAAACUCCAAGGUAAACACCAGAGACAAAGGUCCCAAUAAAGCCGAGGUAGCUUGGUGCA
Molecule: long non-coding RNA, 417 nt
Filed under: Anser cygnoides (Swan goose)
Lineage: Eukaryota; Metazoa; Chordata; Aves; Anseriformes; Anatidae
Description: lncRNA (ENSACDG00005001064.1)
Source: RNAcentral